RNAcentral lists this ribosomal RNA (242 nucleotides) under uncultured bacterium. Its description in RNAcentral is "partial 16S ribosomal RNA". It matches the Rfam family "Bacterial small subunit ribosomal RNA", at positions 524 to 765 of the family's 1533-position model. The record is from RNAcentral.
UACGUAGGGUGCAAGCGUUAAUCGGAAUUACUGGGCGUAAAGCGUGCGCAGGCGGUUUUGUAAGUCUGACGUGAAAUCCCCGGGCUCAACCUGGGAAUUGCGUUGGAGACUGCAAGGCUGGAGUCUGGCAGAGGGGGGUAGAAUUCCACGUGUAGCAGUGAAAUGCGUAGAGAUGUGGAGGAACACCGAUGGCGAAGGCAGCCCCCUGGGUCAAGACUGACGCUCAUGCACGAAAGCGUGGG